UGGGGGAUAUUGCACAAUGGGCGAAAGCCUGAUGCAGCGACGCCGCGUGGGGGAUGAAGGCUUUCGGGUUGUAAACCUCUUUCGCUAUCGAACAAGGCCCGCUUAGGGUGGGUUGAGGGUAGGUGGAGAAGAAGCGCCGGCUAACUACGUGCCAGCAGCCGCGGUAAUACGUAGGGCGCGAGCGUUGUCCGGAAUUAUUGGGCGUAAAGGGCUUGUAUGCGGCUUGUUGCGCCUGCUGUGAAAACGCGGGGCUUAACUUCGCGCGUGCAGUGGGUACAGGCAGGCUUGAGUGUGGUAGGGGUGACUGGAAUUCCAGGUGUAGCGGUGGAAUGCGCAGAUAUCUGGAGGAACACCGAUGGCGAAGGCAGGUCACUGGGCCAUUACUGACGCUGAGGAGCGAAAGCAUGGGUAGCGAACAGG
This 420-nucleotide ribosomal RNA is filed under the name bacterium. RNAcentral describes it as "partial 16S ribosomal RNA". It matches the Rfam family "Bacterial small subunit ribosomal RNA", at positions 355 to 776 of the family's 1533-position model. The record is from RNAcentral.